Molecule: long non-coding RNA, 216 nt
Organism: Ornithodoros turicata
Lineage: Eukaryota; Metazoa; Arthropoda; Arachnida; Ixodida; Argasidae
Exons: 3
Source: RefSeq, a predicted model, not a curated record
UACACCACAUGCUAGUUCUGCUUUGCAACAGAAUCACACUGCAUUAUGCACAUAUUAUGGACUUCCACAAACAACCGUGGCCCAUUCCUCUCCAACUACAGAGCAAUUGAAGCCACUUGCAGUACGACUCUCCACGUCUACACAGACAGACACGACUGUGAAAGCCCUCCAAGAGCGUGGCUGUCAGACAGAACCCUGGGAACAACCAGUUCAAAG